GACGAACGCUGGCGGCGUGCUUAAUACAUGCAAGUAGAACGCUGAAGAUAGGCUCUUGCUCUUCUUGUAUGUGUUGCGAACGUGUGAGUAACGCGUAGGUAACCUCCCUUUUAGCGGGGGAUAACUCUUGGACACGAUCUCUAAUACCGCAUAACCAUGGAUGCCCCAUGUCAUUUAUUUGAAAGGGUCUUUUGCUCCACUACAAGAUCGCCCUGCGUUGUAUUAUCUAUUAGGUGAGGUCAUGGCUCACCUAGGCGACGAUACAUAGCCGACCUGAGAGGGUGAUAGGCGACACUGGGACUGAGACACGGGCCAGACUACUACGGGAGGCAGCAGUAGGGAAUGUUGGGCAAUGGGGACAACCCUGACAGAGCAACGCCGCGUGAGUGAAGAAGGUGUUCGGAUCGUAAAGAUCUGUUGUAAGUCAAGAACGGGUGUGAGAGGGGAAAGUGCACGCUGUGACGGUAGCUUAUCAGAAAGCGACGGCUAACUACGUG
RNAcentral lists this ribosomal RNA (497 nucleotides) under uncultured bacterium. RNAcentral's name for it is "partial 16S ribosomal RNA". It matches the Rfam family "Bacterial small subunit ribosomal RNA", at positions 28 to 507 of the family's 1533-position model. The record is from RNAcentral.